Molecule: long non-coding RNA, 422 nt
Organism: Salvia miltiorrhiza (redroot sage)
Lineage: Eukaryota; Viridiplantae; Streptophyta; Magnoliopsida; Lamiales; Lamiaceae
Exons: 3
Source: RefSeq, a predicted model, not a curated record
AAUCAAUUCAAGAAAUGCUUUGCAGAUCAUCCCAGGCCCCCAGCUCAAAGAACCAUCACAAGGUUUUGUGGACCAAGGGGAUUAGCACUGUUUUCCCAAGACAGGUUAUGUGAUUAUGAUCUUCAGGCUUUGCCUAUCCAGGUUGAGCAGUUGAUGGAAUGGAAUGAUGUUGAGCGGGUGUUCCUUUGACAUUUCAAGAAAUGUAACCUUGAGUAUACAUCUUCAUAUGUAUAUCUCACACGUUUUCCGCUGCAAAACACUUUGAUUAGGAUAACUCUAUAUUAUGAAGUUGUUACACGUGUUAUUGGGUAAACCACCUUAAUCAGUUCUCUUUUAUGUGUAUGUUUUAUAAGUAUCCAAAUGAUCAUAUAUGAUCCUAGCUUUUUAUCUAUAAGUGAUAUUUUCAUAUACUUUAAUGUUAA